GGAUGCUGAGCGCGACGAAGGCGGCCGGCCAUGUAGCCACGGCUGAAGGAGACGAGCUCCUCGCCUGACGACCGGCAGCAGCAGUCCCGGCCGCCGCUGCAGAUCCGCCUCCUCUCUACCUUCUCGCAUCAGCCGUCUCUCUUAUUUACUGAGGCUUCUAAAUUAAUUCUUAUUUUCAGAUUCAAAUUUUUUGGGUUUCACGCGCCAUCUUUUCAGCCCCUCACGUGUACUACUGUUUUUAUUGAAAGAUCCUCAUAUUUCAUUUCCAUCUUUUCAGAUCCUUACAGCUACCAAAUUUAGGGUGAUAGGUUAACUGUCAAUUUUUACUCUUGAACAAAAUGUUAUAGUGACUGUUGUGAUGAUCUUUUCUUCAAUUUUUUUGGUGAUCACAUUUUUUUGCCCCUCACGAGUUCUGCUGCUUUUACUGGCCAGUUCUUUUUGGCAGCUUAAAAAAUAAGCCGCCUCCUCCUAGCUUCUCGCAUAAUCUGUCUCUCUUAUUUAUUGAGACUUCUAAACUAGUUCUUAUUUUCAGAUUCAAAAUUUUCGGAUUUCACGCGCCAUCUUUUCGGCCCCUCACGUAUACUACUGUUUUUAUUGAAUGGUCCUCAUAUUUUCAUUUCCAUCUUUUCAGCAGGCCCGAGCCCAUGGGGGUGCAGCCUGUGCAGGCGCACAGGGCCCCCCGUUUUCAGGGGCCCCAAAUUUAUACGCAGCAGUACUACUUCUCUCCAUAGACGGGCCACUUAAAUUUGGAUCUGGGCCGAUAUUGCCUCGCGUCCGGCGGCUCUCGCACGAGUGAAGAGCGAAGCAACGAGGCGUCCCUUCGUCUUUUCUUAUGGCGCUGGCGGCCAUGGACGCGGCAGGAGUCAGGAACAUAAGGGCAAGACCAGGAAGGAAGGCAGGAACGGCCAAACUGCAGCCGGCAGGAACGGCCUGAUUCACCUGAAGGCAAGGAAAGUUUAGGCCAUCACCCGAUCUCUGAAUUUUUAAGCGUCGCCGCAUCAAGAACCGGUGCGGUGAUGAGGAACGGGCAAGGCUUAAGAAGAACCUGGACAGGAUUGAGCUUGUAUGCAAUGUCCUCACCUUGAUUUCCAUCCCGGUGAUAGUCGUGGGGAUCCUUAACAUCAUGUCGUAGGGGCCGGUAUCAGCCUCGGUCUUUUAGCAAUUUAAGGAUGCUUUAAGCCCUCAUACUUGUGAAUUUGCGAGACUAUUACGCUGUUUUGGCUCUGUGUAACCUCAGUAGACCUACUUAAUUGCUAUGCUAAGCACCUGCUGCACACCUAAUUUAUGGACGGGAAGUUUACUGCUAAGGGGCGAGCCCUUCCUUUGUUGAAUAUAUCUGCUGUGCUGC
Long non-coding RNA from Triticum dicoccoides, 1348 nucleotides. RefSeq lists it as uncharacterized. The transcript has 3 exons. Lineage: Eukaryota; Viridiplantae; Streptophyta; Magnoliopsida; Poales; Poaceae. The record is from RefSeq and is a predicted model, not a curated record.